UGAAGAGUGAAGCUUCCUGUCGCGUGGAUGUGAAUCCUGUGUGGCCAGUGCCAUCCACCGAAAUCUACAGACAUCUUGCGUGCUCCCGGGCUCUCUGCUCCUCUGUCCAGUGCGGGGUUCCAAGGCCCGUAGGCUGUGCAGCCUUCCUGGAGACCGAUGGAAGCUCCCUGGGUCGACAGAUUACAACUUCUGCACCCCCUCGGGUCCCCUACUCUCUUCAACUCCCUGGUGGGUGCCCGUUGUCCCUGGAGAGGAUACUUGGAAAUAACAGCUUGGGUACACAGCGACCAUAAGAGGUAUCUCCAUCCUGCCAGACUGAUGGACCAUGUUGCUCCUUAGUGAGGAUUGUCCCCUGGCAUCUGGAGCUCGGUAUCCCGCAAGAAUAUGUGCAGUUUCCCGGAUUGCCUUUGGGAGUGUGUGAAGCCAGGUCUGUGCCCUGUGCCACCAGAGGACAGCACCUGCCAGCGAGCCAUGGCCCUGAUGCGCCUUUGAGCGGCCUGCACAACAGAGCAUUGGGCUUGUCUCCAGAGCGCUCCAGGAAUGUCAGCUGAUCUUUGCUGUCUAUGUCAGCACUCCUCGCAUUGCAAGAAGUGACUGGAACAGGGGCCUUGCCAGGUAUGAAUCUGAGAUACUUCAGGGGAGCAGCAGUGGUCCAGGAAAUGCCUCAAUCAUGAGGAAAAGCAGAGGCUGCUCCCUAUUGCUGCUUCCCCGCCCAGGCCAGCAGGGAUAUGCCUCCCCCCUGCCACCUCACUUCUGUACAUCUUUGUGGUGUGAAAUGGGAGCCACUGCGGUCACAGUUCAUCAGGGGGUGCAAGCAAAAGUUCUCUAAACUUGGGUGGGACGCUUGUUAGGAAGCAGUCCCAUCCCAGACCUCCUGACCUAGUGAGUUCUCAGAAGUACCCCCCGUGUGUCCAUUGCUUCAUUCUCUUUAGUAGGAGACCACUGAAGUAAUGGUUCUCAGGUUGGUUCCUGAAGCAAGCACUGCCACCAUCACCUUGGAGCACAGAAGAGAUCAUAUCUGGAGGCAGCAUUUAGCAGGCUCUCCAGAGGAUUCCUGCACAGCUUGGGGAAUUAGGAAGCUACUUCAGUCAGGGGCUGUUACUAUGGUCACUGUCUCCUGGCCAGGUAUCCUGACUUGGCCCUUUCCUAAGCUGCCCCUGUAUUCGAAAGUGAUCGUGGGCUGCCUGUGCCCUGGUCAUUGAUACUGCAGGGAGAGGAUGCGGAAAGCCUUUCCCCGUGUUUGGAGGAUCCACACUGUCCUUGCCAAACCCUGGUGCUUUCGAACAAAUCUUCCUUCUCCCAGCCUUUUGUUCUCCUGGCUGUUGACACCAGGCUUGCUGAGUGCCUUCUGCCGGUGCUGAGCAGUGUCCACAAAGGCUUAUGGAAGGGAGUUAGAAGCGGGGCUCCACCUUGAGGGGUUUUUAUUCUGGCCCAGUUUUGCGAGUAUCCUGUGAGCGCCUGGCCACAUCCUCUUCCAUGGCUGCAGAAUAGAGCCCUCCAUGAGCCUGUGUGGUGGAAGGCUGCCGUUCCCACACUGCUGUGUUGAGAGAUGGGUAAACACGGGCAGCGGGACUCUGGCCCCUCUGAGCCUGUCUAGCCGUGACCUGCUUUCAGCCUCCAAUUGGCUAACAGUGAGAGGCUCUGGUUAUGUAGGUGAAGAUCCAAAGCAUUGUUCUCUUUUUUUAUUUUAAUUCUUUAGGUGUUUGUGGACCCCAGAGGACCAGGGAGUGGACAGAAGGACCACCACUCAGUGAAACUGGGGACUGCCCACUCACAGCAUCCUGAAACAGCCUUUUUUUUAUUAUGUUUGCAAGCGACACUAACAAACACCUCAGAGGGCUAUGUCCUGUCCCCGUGUCCAUCUGAAGUGCCUGACUGACAAGAGCUUUUCUUGUUGCCCAACUUUUCCUGUUACUCUUUCCCCGCCACCCCCAUCACACAUACA
Long non-coding RNA from Chionomys nivalis (European snow vole), 1945 nucleotides. RefSeq lists it as uncharacterized. The record is from RefSeq and is a predicted model, not a curated record. NCBI's taxonomy places the organism in Eukaryota, Metazoa, Chordata, Mammalia, Rodentia, Cricetidae. The transcript has 5 exons.